RNAcentral lists this ribosomal RNA (247 nucleotides) under uncultured archaeon. Its description in RNAcentral is "partial 16S ribosomal RNA". It matches the Rfam family "Archaeal small subunit ribosomal RNA", at positions 691 to 937 of the family's 1478-position model. The record is from RNAcentral.
CCGACGGUGAGGGACGAAAGCUGGGGGAGCAAACCGGAUUAGAUACCCGGGUAGUCCCAGCUGUAAACGAUGCGCGUUAGGUGUGUCAGUGACCACGUGUCACUGAUGUGCCGAAGGGAAACCGUGAAACGCGCCGCCUGGGGAGUACGGUCGCAAGGCUGAAACUUAACGGAAUUGGCGGGGGAGCACCACAACGGGUGGAGCCUGCGGUUUAAUCGGACUCAACGCCGGAAAUCUCACCGGAUAA